RNAcentral lists this long non-coding RNA (204 nucleotides) under Elaeis guineensis (African oil palm). RNAcentral's name for it is "long non-coding RNA (EGUI_LNC019770)". Lineage: Eukaryota; Viridiplantae; Streptophyta; Magnoliopsida; Arecales; Arecaceae. The record is from RNAcentral.
UCAUGUGCCAUCCAAAUUUAGUUAUAUCGAAAGAAGGUAUUCAUAAAGUUAAGCAUCUAGUAUCCGAUGGUGGCACCGAUGAGUUAGUCUAUCCUGAAUAAAAUAAAACUAUCUUUUAGAUAAGCUUUAUUCAAAUCAGUAAAAACUAAAUAUAUCUAUCAUUUGCUGUUCACCUUCUUGACGAGGAUGACAUUCACUAACCAC